GUCCAUGAGACGCCAUCUUAAUAAAGGGGAACUUCCUCCUAUAACAAACUUCACUGGUUAUAAAUGGCCUGUGCAGCGUCGAUAUGAGUCAGAAAAAUUAAUUAUAGUGUCAAAAUUGACUACAAAAUGUAAAUAAGAUAAUUUUGGUCAUAAAGUCAGCCUCAUCCAAAACGAGAUUUGGAAAUGAGGGCGUCAUGAGUAGUAUGGGUUGGGUAUGGAUUAUUUACAUAUACAUGCCCACUUUUGCUAAUGAUGUCCAAUUUGCAAAGAGACAACAAGGUGUGGUCCACCCCCAGCUGCCAUGUGUUGUGAACAUGUUGGCUUCCAUAAAGUUGGUGCAAACUUCUAACACGUUCAACAAUGUUUCGCAAGAUGGCAAGGAAUGUAUUACAAACAACAAACGUAUGACACUGUGGCUGUGUGUGGGAACGAAGAAAAACUCAGAGGGGGCAUGAGGAUACCGUUUUGCAGGAAGAAGAGCAGAGGAAGGACCCAGAGUUUUCCAAGCUGGAGUUUUGAAGCUGAAAGAUAAGGAUGUUUGUGCCCAGCAUGAGAAAGCAGGAAUCUUCUCAAUGAGAUUCGCGCCGGUAAAUGUGAAGGACACAAGUAGAAGACGAUCGAGAUGCAGCCUGAAUCGUAUUGGUGUACUCUGUUGGCUGAGGAGUCCUAAACCUGGGUGAGCUGGGCUGAGUUGGGCUAGGUUUGGCUUGGCACUGAGCCCAGAAUCAAAGCUACCGUUUGUCAA
Oncorhynchus kisutch (coho salmon) is the source of this 745-nucleotide long non-coding RNA. RefSeq lists it as uncharacterized. The transcript is spliced from 3 exons. The record is from RefSeq and is a predicted model, not a curated record. NCBI's taxonomy places the organism in Eukaryota, Metazoa, Chordata, Actinopteri, Salmoniformes, Salmonidae.